GAUGAACGCUGGCGGCGUGCCUAAUACAUGCAAGUCGAACGAAACUUCUUUAUCACCGAGUGCUUGCACUCACCGAUAAGGAGUUGAGUGGCGAACGGGUGAGUAACACGUGGGCAACCUGCCCAAAAGAGGGGGAUAACACUUGGAAACAGGUGCUAAUACCGCAUAACCAUAGUUACCGCAUGGUAACUAUGUAAAAGGUGGCUAUACUACCGCUUUUGGAUGGGCCCGCGGCGCAUUAGCUAGUUGGUAGGGUAAAGGCUUACCAAGGCAAUGAUGCGUAGCCGAAUUGAGAGGUUGACCGGCCACAUUGGGACUGAGACACGGCCCAAACUCCUACGGGAGGCAGCAGUAGGGAAUCUUCCACAAUGGGCGAAAGCCUGAUGGAGCAACGCCGCGUGGGUGAAGAAGGUCUUCGGAUCGUAAAACCCUGUUGUUAGAGAAGAAAGUGCGUGAGAGUAACUGUUCACGUUUCGACGGUAUCUAACCAGAAAGCCACGGCUAACUACGUG
Molecule: ribosomal RNA, 512 nt
Filed under: uncultured bacterium
Lineage: Bacteria
Description: partial 16S ribosomal RNA
Rfam family: Bacterial small subunit ribosomal RNA
Source: RNAcentral